GGAAAACAUGAUGGAGAGGUAGAGGUCAGGAUGGUUCUUCAACAUGGUGGAGAGGUAGAGAUCAGGAUGGUUCUUCAACAUGUAAGAGAGGUAGAGGUCAGGAUGGUUCUUCAACAUGGUGGAGAGGUAGAGGUCAGGAUGAUUCUUCAACAUGGUGGAGAGGUAGAGGUCAGGAUGGUUCUUCAACAUGUAAGAGAGGUAGAGAUCAGGAUGAUUCUUCAACAUGUAAGAGAGGUAGAGGUCAGGAUGGUUCUUCAACAUGUAAGAGAGGUAGAGGUCAGGAUGGUUCUUCAACAUGUAAGAGAGGUAGAGGUCAGGAUGGUUCUUCAACAUGUAAGAGAGGUAGAGGUCAGGAUGGUUCUUCAACAUGGUGGAGAGGUAGAGAUCAGCCAGCUCUUUGUAACAUCGAUAGGUUUCGGCUACUACG
This is a long non-coding RNA of Oncorhynchus tshawytscha (Chinook salmon), 427 nucleotides long. The record is from Ensembl. Lineage: Eukaryota; Metazoa; Chordata; Actinopteri; Salmoniformes; Salmonidae.